AUCUUAAUAAACCGGUCGUACUCCUAGUUUCGUUGCGCGGCAGCAGUUAAGAUGCCAGAGCACUGUGGAGCAUUUUCCUGUUCUAAUCGGCAGACCAUCGCAAAUAGGGCCCGGGGGAUUACUUUUAACAAGUCAGAUCUUGUCACCGCUGCCAGUUGAAUGACCCCAUCAAGACUGUUGUGCCAGUCUUGCAUUCCAUUAAGGUAAAAGAAUCUUGGGAAGUGCUUGGUUUGGAUUUGAUUGGACCACUGCCAGAAACAGCACGCAACAACAAGUAUGUCCUUACAUGACACACCUGUACACCAAGUGGGUGAUUGCAGAACCAAUGCAAUCUAAGACAGCAGCUGAGGUGCCUGCAAUAAUAACCACAAAGUUGUACUUGUUCGGCAUGGUUAGGAAAAUCAUUACAGACCAAGGGAAGGAGUUUGUCAACAAGCUCAACAACAGCAUUUUCAGUACGCUGAAAAUCAAACAUGCUGUCUCCAGUGCUUACCAUCCCCAGACCAACGGACAGGAUGAAAGGACCAAUCAGAAUAUCAAGCGUACUCUCAGGAAGUAUGUGAAUGACAACCAUAAUGACUGGGAUCUCCACCUUCCUGCUGUGGUGUAUGGAAUCAACACUGCAAAGCAGACCAGCAGCCGCCACUGGAAGCUUCCUAUGUGAUCAGUACUACACUAGACACAGUCCCUACUUCCUCCUCUUCUAUCGACACCCACGUCUGCCAGAGUUCAUGAAUGCCUGUCCCAUGGGAGAUGAUUUUGAAGUUGCUGACCCGGAAGAUGACGUCGACGCUGGAGUCAAUAAGAUGAAACUUCUUAAUGAAACGGUUUGUAUUUGAAUAAUAAAGGUAAAUUAAGUAGUGACAUACUAUCGGAAUUAGACCUAGGCAUAGGCUGAUCUAUGUAUUUUCUUUGCUAUGAUUCUGAUUCUCUGAGCUCUUGUUAUGUCACUGUUACACUGUAUAUUUAGAGAUGUGGAUAAUGUAAUGUUUCUGGGACUGUGUGUGUCUAUGUGUGCCCAGAGUGUCACUAUCACUUUAGCAUUCUCUACCUCAGUAGAUAGCAUCACCUUGCAGGGAAUUCCUGUGGUGUCUACAUGCUGGUGGUAAGAAUGUUUAAUUUAUCAAAGCUGUUAGAUAAUAAAAUCAAAGUCUUACAGUGUUAUUUGCAUUUCACAGUAUGCUCUCAGCACCUGUACGUCAUGUCCAUUAUCAUUCACAGAGGAGGAGGUGCCAUUGAUUCACCAGUGGUGGUUGAUGGAGAGGAUUUGCCUAGAAGGUUAUGGACAGAGAUUUGCAUACUGGACAGAAGAAGCAUCCCAAGUCCUUCAGGAAACCCUUGAGCUUGUCUUUAGGGUGUCAAAAUCCACCAUCACAAAACUGUUGCCCAGCAGAAGAGUUGUGGUUGAAGAGGACACUGAUAAGUGUAAAGAGGACAUGGAAACAUUUUUGUCAUACUGUGUUGAUGAACAAGGCCUGAAGGUCAAUGCCAUGUUCCAGUGAGGGAUGGAAGCAAUUCAUUAAUUUAUUAAAUAAAUUGAAUGAAUAAAUAACUUUAUCCUGUGUGUUUCUUAAAUGCAGACAUUUGUUAAAGUAUGCUGAAAUAAGUAGAACAUAUCUUUAGAAAAUAAAAUAUUAAAUGUAAAGAAAUGCACGCACACACUUAUAUACACAUCUGUAUUUCCCAAAUGGGUUCUAACAAAUGUAAACUAUUUAGUUUAACAGCAAUUUGUGGUAUUUCAGUUAGAAUCUGUUACAUAUUUGGGUAUACAAAUAACCAAAUAUAACUCUAUAUGCACUGCUAAUUUGAACACAAUUGUUACAUAAACAAUGAAACGGCUUAAUUGCUGGGCUGCAGAGAGACCUAUCUUUGAAAGGCAGAGAUUUGCUUGUUAAAUCAGAGGGUCUGUCUCACCUAAUUUAUGCCACUCAGGCAUUGUACAUUGAUAAGCCCACGUGUAAAGUAAUCAAUGGGUUAUUAAUUACAUUUUAAUGGAAAAACAAAUACCAUUAUUUGAAAAAGUCAGUGAUACUAAAUUCUCACAAAAAGGGUGGCUUAAACUUCAUUGAUUUCAGCUCACUAAAUAACACAAUUAAAAAAAACUGGCUUAAUCGAUUCCUUAAAAACCCCACCUCUAUUUGGAAUAUUUUCCAUCAGCUUGCCUUCUCACAACUUGGUGGUGCAAUUUUAUUUUUUAUGUAAUUAUGGUAUUCAAUAAAUCCCUGUCAAGCUAUCUAACUUUCACCAACAAGUUCUUUUGGCAUGGACUAUUGGCACUAAACUUUUCUCCUCAUCUGUGUUACAUAUGGAACAAUAGGAACAUUCUAUUUAAGAAUAAAUCUUUGUUCUAUAAUUACUGGUUCAGUAAUGGAAUAUUUCAUGUAAGACAGCUCUUCAAUAAUGAAGGUUUACUUUUUAGGUAUACUGAAUUUCUUUCAGAAUAUAACAGUUAUGGAUGCUAUUCCAUCUGGCUUACACAUGAUUUUCAAAAAUAAUACUCUGUCUUAUGGGUUCAUUAUCCUCUCCUGAACCUGUAAGCACACCUAUUGGUGAGAUAUGUUUCUCUGAAAAAAAAGGAAGGAAUCAUAAAAUAAGAGCUCUAUUCCUUGAGAACAUUGUCUCUGCCCCUCCUAUAAUCUUAAAUUGGAAUGGACUCUUUGAUCAUUUAAAUUGAAAAAUAUAUGGUCUAUGCAAAAAGCUUUUUCCUCACAAAGUAAAAGAAAUAUAUUUUUAAUUAAUUCAUAAUAUUUACCCUGUCAAAAAUGUCUUAAAGAAACAUUUUAGAUCUGAUUUUGACACUAAUUGUUCUUUUUGUCAGAAUGAAAAACCUCUCUUCAUUUGUUUUGGUCUUGCAUUUAUUCUUUGCAACUUUGGGAAGAUGUUAGUUUGUUAAUCUAAAUAUCGAAGUUUUUCAAAGAAUCCUAAAACUGUUAUUUUUGAAUUUGUUGAAGCAGAUCCAAAUGCCUGCUUUAUAAUAAAUUUAAUUAUUUUCCUAUGUAGAUUUUAUAUUCAUAAAUGUAAAUAUGUUUAAUUGGAAACCUAUUUCUUUGGUAUUCUUACAAGAGAUAAAACAGUAUCCGAUUACAAAUUCAUCUUCACUUAACAAAAAAGCACUCAGAACAUGUACAAUUUGCACGGCCUACAAACAUUUUUAUUUAAUUAAUGUGUAAUUUUCUUUUAAUUUAAGUAAUUCCCACUUAUUUUCUUUUUCUUUCUUGUUUAUUAUUUUAGUUACUUUUUAGUUUGUUUCUGUUUUGAGUUAUGGUGUUGGUAAAGUAGUUUCCUUAACUAUUAUUGC
Long non-coding RNA from Xyrauchen texanus (razorback sucker), 3298 nucleotides. RefSeq lists it as uncharacterized. NCBI's taxonomy places the organism in Eukaryota, Metazoa, Chordata, Actinopteri, Cypriniformes, Catostomidae. The record is from RefSeq and is a predicted model, not a curated record. The transcript has 9 exons.